GAGAUAUACUGUAGAGACAAGCACCAAGUAAUGCACAAUAAUUAGAAUUUUAAAUGUAAAUACAGUACUGCACCAGUCGCUCAAGAUUUGGUGUGCUGUGAGACUGCGCCACCUUUAAAUUGCAGGCAUAGUUCAACUGAAAACGGAUGAAAUAACAUAUUUCACUAACCUUGGCAAUCAGCAAGCCAAAUAAAAGGGAAAACAUAAAAGGAAUGAAUGGAGCAAAGUGAGUCUCAGAUUGUAUAUUUUCCAUCCCAGGAGAUAGCAUAAAGAUGUAGAUACAGUUUUUAGUGGAGGGAGAAGAGGGGAGUGAGAAUGUGAGUGCGUAUAAAUCAAUGGUUCUUUGUGUCACAGAAAAAAAAAUAGGUGGAAUCACACAAGCCCGUGCAAUUACAUGACUCACACAGUCACACUCGCACGUGCACGUACGGACAGAUACGCUUCAGAGAAGAAGAGAGCGCGAGAGGCAGACACCUGAAGAAGCUCAGCACACAGAGAGAGCAUCAAGCUCCCUGGUCCAUCCAGUCAAGUCAGUGUGCAAAGUAACUACAAUGCCUCUUUCACUGCACAACGGAAUUUGUUACUUAUUGGAACUGUAGCGAAUGGAGCUUCCUUGAAAUGGACAUGCACCAAGUGGUGUAAGGUGGCUUUACUAUCUCAACCCAGCUGACUUUGGGCAAGAGGUGGGCUGAACUGAUGGGCAGCCAAUGAAGAGCCAAAAAAAUGGAUAGGUAAUAUUUUCAUAAUAUUACAUUUUUACAAUUUUAACCAACUCAAUGAAGAGAGAGCACUCUGUUGUUUAUGUGAUCGGCAGUAAUAGCCUUUAUCACAACCACUAAAAGAACAGACUGGUCCUGACACUUGCUGACAUGUUGCAGUAAACCAAACCACACUGUGAGUGUGUGUGUACCUGAUUAUAAAAUACCACCUUGAUGUUUUGAGUCAUCCGGUGUUUCCAAAAUGCCGCAUGACCGCUAUUUAGCGCAGCGGAUCAAUUAAGUUCAGGGCCUGCACUGGCACAGUGAUAGUUGUGUCACUGCUUCAUUUCCAAUGUAAAGUAACACAUGAUCCUUUACGUGAUUUCCCACUCAAAAGGUGAAUGAUGACACUAGUGGAUUUUGGGCCGUGGAAGGCAAGAUACGAGGAACUGUCGUUGUGAAAAACACAUCGGUUCUUUGCUCAGGAUUGAAAAUUAGUCGAGCUGCCGUGUCAUAUUUUUCUGUGUGCUCUCACUGACCCUGAUAGCCGAAGCAAUAAAAGGCAGUGAAAAAAAUAAAUAAAAGCGCUCCGCAUUUCUUAACCAUCCAUUUCGGAUUGUGUUGUUGUGUAGAGCUAGGUUUGGUUUAUCGUUGCCGCUGGGCAUUUUUUUCAAGGUUUUUGAGGGUAAAAUGAAAGGCAAACAGGAAAGAAACAUAGAGUGUUUAACUGAAUUCAGAUGAUGGAAUUGUAAUGCAGUUUGGCGAUAUAGAAAAUAAUUUGGAAGGGAUUUCGAAAGGUCAACAAAUACAUCAAUGUAAGGGGAGAAAAAAAAGUCUCGCUAUGUUCUCAUUUUGUAUAAAUGCAAUGGUGUUGUUACACCCCAUCUUUCUUGUGAAAUCACUUUUUCCAGUCGGCGACAAUCAUGAUUCCUCCUCGCCGUGUCAUGCUGACUUCACACAUCAUCAUCUUUUUGAUUGACUUUGAGAUGAAGAGAUGAAGCUCCCAUGCGCACACAUUAUUUGUGAUGCAUCCCUCCAAUAGGAAACUCUGCAACGAACCCCUUAAUAGAAUGUGUAAUUUGGAGGCUUCCUUUUAAACGCAGCUCCGGUGAGAAGUGAAGUAUAAUAGAGAUGCGAGCUCGUUUGUCCAAGUGAAACAAAUAAUCUCUCUGCUGCAGCGUGGCAGUCGUGUGGGAGGAAAUCUCCGGGGAGGCUGCAAACGGUGAUUAGUAAACAGCCAAUACUUAUGUAGAAAACACAUUAUUUUCCGAAGCU
Hippocampus zosterae (dwarf seahorse) is the source of this 1973-nucleotide long non-coding RNA. RefSeq lists it as uncharacterized. The transcript has 3 exons. The record is from RefSeq and is a predicted model, not a curated record. Lineage: Eukaryota; Metazoa; Chordata; Actinopteri; Syngnathiformes; Syngnathidae.